This is a long non-coding RNA of Seriola aureovittata, 2190 nucleotides long. RefSeq lists it as uncharacterized. The transcript is spliced from 3 exons. NCBI's taxonomy places the organism in Eukaryota, Metazoa, Chordata, Actinopteri, Carangiformes, Carangidae. The record is from RefSeq and is a predicted model, not a curated record.
CGUUGCCUGAUAAGAACCAAGACAGAGGAAAGGGUGGAAAAGAGCACACCACAAGGAUCGACUUUUAAACCAAUGCAGUUUGCCAUCAGAGUACCAGGACUUUUAACAACAUUAAUUAAAAAUGAGCUAUGAGGAAGUGUUGUGCUAUGAAAGAGCAUCUGAUCACAGCUGAAUGAUUUUUCACUUCAUUUCACUGGCCUUCGCUUACACUGAGUGUGCCCACUGUCCUCGGACCUUCUCUGCCUGCCCAGACAUCCUGAGUGGUGAGUGGUAAUGCUGUGAGUACUUGGUCAUCUGUGACAAAUCUGGCAAGUGGAUGGAGGAUGAGAGGUGUGGGGUAAAGUUGUAGGUCAAUAGCCCUUAUUGACCAACUACCAGUAAUAAGAGGGUGCUGGUGUGAUAGAGGGCGCAUCAAUAAAAUCAAGUAAUAGUGUAGAAAUUAGUGGCUUGAAGGAACAUUUGUCAUUAUGAAUGUAUCCUGCAAGUGCAUCAGGGUCCAUGAUGUUAAAUCUAUGAAUGCACAGUAGAGGUCUUCACAGGUCCACUUGGUUAGUAAUCCUAAAGACGAACCAGACCCCGACCCAAAUUGGAACUAUUGGAACCGAUUCUGUUGCUGUGUGUCUCAGCUCCAUGUGUCAAUAUGUUUAAACACUGAGCGGAUUCAAACAGACUCACUCACUCUGAUCACUUCAUUGCAAGGGGAAAAAUUUAUUUUUUGAGGUGAUUCUUAAAUCCUGUGUCACCAAAGAAGAAGAAAGAAGAAGAACGAUCAACAAACAAGCAUAUAGGGAAUUAACCCUCGUUUACAUGUUUAUACAAGUAUAAAUACAAAUCUCACUGGUUUCACAUAGCCAGAGCUCUGUGUAGUUGUUUGUCCUAUGAUGACAUGAUGAACUCCAAACAUUCUUUCAGCAGAUCUGAUCUAACACCCUUACUGUUGUGUUUGCAAACAGGGAGCGAACAUUGUGGGGUGUGAAUCUCAUUUUACUGGUGACAGAAAUGCUUGUGCUCAAGGGUUGAGAUUUGAUAUUACCACAGACCAGAUCAGGGAAGGGGGGUGGAGAGGUGACAGCCACGAACUGGCCUAUCUAGCAAUGCACAAGGCUAUGGAGCAGAGUGACUCCCUUCAGCCGUCGGAACAUCAUCGCCACAGCUGUUCCUCAUCCUCCGUCCUCAUCAGAUGUUGCAGAGGAGUCUGACGAGGGGCACAGUACCUCUGCUCCAGGGCCAUCUACUACCCCACACCACCUGUCCAGCUGUUCCAAAGGGCCCAAACAACUUGCCUUUCAGGGCAAGCAAAAAAAAAAAAAAAGAGAAAACUUCACUCGUCUCUCUGGAGUUGUCUUCACAGAUGGAAAAAAAAAAACUUCGAAAAAUGAUCCUGUCACAAAAAAAAGCUUUUUUAAGGCUUCUUAUUUGUUUUUUGGCUCUUAAUGACAGAUUUAUGUUUCCUUAAAUGAAAUGAUUCCUCACUUAAAAGAGGUACAGCAUUAAACAUGAGUUGCUUUUCAUCUGUCUCUGUUCUUCAAAUUGAGAUUUCCAGCUAAAAAUUAAUUGCUUACCAAGAAGCCACCCAUUGAGCACCCUGCCAGCUUGUAGCCUGUUCCCAACCACGGUGUUUGUUAGGAAAGAUGAAUCGUGGACCUCUUUGCCACAAUAUCAGUCAGUUGCAUUUGUGCAUCACAUAUUAUUUGCACGUUGAUAGAAUGAAAAUGGUUUCUAUUAACAUAGGCAAAUUCAUCCUCUGAUGGUGCUUUCACAGGAACGUGUGUGCAGUCAAUCGCUUCGAUUACAUUAGAGAAACUGGCUCUGGCUUCAAAUUGCGCUUUAAUGUUAACCUGGUCAACCACAUCAUAUGGGAACGUUAUGUACCUGGCUGACAUACAGAUGAUCCCUUCCCAUACAACUUGAAUGGCAUGGCUGAAGGAUGACUGGCAGUCUGAAAUGUCCCCGUUGCCAAGAAACCCAGAGUGGUAAGCACUUGUAUGGGAACAGUUAGGCUAAUGCGUGUCUCCUCGCUGUGUCCCUCUCUAAGACUGGACCCAGCAGCACACAGUUCCAAGAGGAUAGCCAGUUAUCAUCAUUUGCCAAAUUUUUUUGCCACAUUUUAAAUUUUUUAAAUCAGCGUGCUCUCUAAAUACCUGUUCCCUUCUAAUUCUGCCAUUCUCUAUGUCCUCUAAUAAGGUCAAA